GCUUGCUCUAGUUCCCAGGCUUUGGCCCCCAGUGGACGAGAAUCGCUGAGCCUGCGGGGCUGGACGCUGAGCGCCCGGGCCAGCACCUAGGCGGGCGCGGAGCUAUACGGGCCAGGGUUCGCACGGGCUGGGUGGAGGCUCGAGCGGGGACCCCCGAGCGUGAGCCCCUGAGCCGGCGGCCCUGGGGCCAGGGGAACCGGGCGGGAGGUGGCGAAGGUGGCGGCGGAGGCGAAGGGGCGGCGGGACCCGGGCCUGGCCCAUGUGUGUCCUGGGGGCCUGGCCCAGGCCGCUGCUGUACGGUGAGUCCCAGGGAGGCGAAUCUGGGCGCCUGGAAGGACACCCUCCUGGAUUUGCCCCGUAGGCCCGGCCCGGGCCCCUCGGGAGCAGAACAGCCUUGGUGAGGUGGACAAGAGGGGACCUUGCGAGCAGACGCGCGCCAGCGACAGCAGCCCCGCCCCGGCAUCUGGGGAGCCCCAGGAGGAUACGUCUUUGGAUUUUCGGGCCCGCAGCGAGAAGGGCCUGGGUGAAGUCACCGUGUGUUCGGGACCUUAGAGUAUGGGGCGGGGGAGGGUCCCGAUCGCUUGCAAGAGAGGCGUGUGUUUGGGUUUGAGGCGCUACACGGGAAGAUAUGGGAGGACGAGGCUUACUGGGGCGUGGAGGGUGUCACCAGCCUCAGCUGCAGACGUCGUCUCCACUCCCCCCAACCCCUAACAGCCCUUCCUCCUCCUUUCCGUGCUCCAGAUUUCGACCGCCUCUAAACAUCCGUCAGCACCUCUGUUCUCUCAUUUAAGUGUCUGCUGAUUCCCCCCUUAGAUCUGCCCUGGGGACUGGUAGUAAUGCAGGAACAGUCUGCAGGGAUUCUCUCUUGCUGCCUCAGUUGCUAGGGGAAGAGACUGGGCCUUAGCAGGUCUACCAGCCACAGUCUCUGCACGUUUCCAAGAGCAGCAGAAAAUGAACACAUUGCAGUGAUUUCAUUGCAGUCGAAUCCAGCGGGCAUUUUC
This 1001-nucleotide long non-coding RNA is filed under the name Pan troglodytes (chimpanzee). RNAcentral describes it as "long non-coding RNA NONPTRT016006". Lineage: Eukaryota; Metazoa; Chordata; Mammalia; Primates; Hominidae. The record is from RNAcentral.